CUGUAUGCAACUCAUUGUUGCCCAGGUAACUCAGAUAUAUACUCCCCUUCUACGAUUGGAGGGGAUUGUUAGCUGGCAGGUGUGCUGUGGGGAAACUGCAGACCGCUCAGUUUCCCUCCGUCCCUAUAGAA
Gavialis gangeticus (Gharial) is the source of this 131-nucleotide long non-coding RNA. RefSeq lists it as uncharacterized. The record is from RefSeq and is a predicted model, not a curated record. NCBI's taxonomy places the organism in Eukaryota, Metazoa, Chordata, Crocodylia, Gavialidae. The transcript has 3 exons.